This 253-nucleotide ribosomal RNA is filed under the name uncultured bacterium. RNAcentral's name for it is "partial 16S ribosomal RNA". It matches the Rfam family "Bacterial small subunit ribosomal RNA", at positions 524 to 776 of the family's 1533-position model. The record is from RNAcentral.
UACGAGGGGGGCGAGCGUUGUUCGGAAUUAUUGGGCGUAAAGGGCGCGUAGGCGGUUGGAUAAGGCUUGUGUGAAAUCUUCGGGCUCAACUCGAAGUCUGCACGAGAAACUAUCUGGCUUGAGUGUGGGAGAGGUGAGUGGAAUUCCUGGUGUAGCGGUGAAAUGCGUAGAUAUCAGGAGGAACACCUGUGGCGAAAGCGGCUCACUGGACCACAACUGACGCUGAGGCGCGAAAGCUAGGGGAGCAAACAGG